Molecule: unclassified non-coding RNA, 430 nt
Filed under: Hevea brasiliensis (rubber tree)
Lineage: Eukaryota; Viridiplantae; Streptophyta; Magnoliopsida; Malpighiales; Euphorbiaceae
Source: RNAcentral
CUGGAAGCACGGUACACUUGUUUAGCAUCGGCAUCACAUUCUCUGCUCUAUGGCAGCCAAUAAGUGCUCUCCAAAGUGUUGGAAAAGUGUUUGAACCUUACAAGGAUUCAAGGGUGGAUGUACUUGCACCAAAGUUGCUAUUCAUUGCACUUAACCUGGCCGGGAUGGGCUUGGGUGUGUGGAAGCUGAAUACAUUGGGUCUUCUUCCGACGCAUGCAUCAGAUUGGGUUUCAUCUCUCCCCCCUGCUCAGGAAGUUGAAUAUUCUGGUGGGGGUUUUCCGAUCUUCUGAUUCCUGGAUGCUCUUUCUGCUUUAUCGUUUCUCGGACUCUUAAGGCAAGCCGCAGUUCCAUAGCUACGAGUAUAUUUGGAUUUUCCUGCUGCUGUAUUAACAAAAUUCGCCCUUAUGUUAUAUUUUUUCCUUUAUCAAUG